RNAcentral lists this ribosomal RNA (373 nucleotides) under uncultured organism. Its description in RNAcentral is "partial 16S ribosomal RNA". It matches the Rfam family "Bacterial small subunit ribosomal RNA", at positions 527 to 896 of the family's 1533-position model. The record is from RNAcentral.
GUAGGUGGCAAGCGUUGUCCGGAAUUAUUGGGCGUAAAGCGCGCGCAGGUGGUUCUUUAAGUCUGAUGUGAAAGCCCCCGGCUCAACCGGGGAGGGUCAUUGGAAACUGGGGAACUUGAGUGCAGGAGAGGAAAGUGGAAUUCCACGUGUAGCGGUGAAAUGCGUAGAUAUGUGGAGGAACACCAGUGGCGAAGGCGACUUUCUGGCCUGUAACUGACACUGAGGCGCGAAAGCGUGGGGAGCAAACAGGGAUUAGAUACCCUGGUAGUCCACGCCGUAGACGAUGAGUGCUAAGUGUUGGGGGGGUUUCCGCCCCCUCAGUGCUGCAGCUAACGCAUUAAGCACUCCGCCUGGGAGUACGGUCGCAAGACUG